GACGAACGCUGGCGGCGUGCUUAACACAUGCAAGUCGAGCGGAAAGGCCCUGCUUUUGUGGGGUGCUCGAGUGGCGAACGGGUGAGUAACACGUGAGUAACCUGCCCUUGACUUUGGGAUAACUUCAGGAAACUGGGGCUAAUACCGGAUAGGAGCUCCUGCUGCAUGGUGGGGGUUGGAAAGUUUCGGCGGUUGGGGAUGGACUCGCGGCUUAUCAGCUUGUUGGUGGGGUAGUGGCUUACCAAGGCUUUGACGAGUAGCCGGCCUGAGAGGGUGACCGGCCACAUUGGGACUGAGAUACGGCCCAGACUCCUACGGGAGGCAGCAGUGGGGAAUAUUGCACAAUGGGCGGAAGCCUGAUGCAGCAACGCCGCGUGCGGGAUGACGGCCUUCGGGUUGUAAACCGCUUUCGCCUGUGACGAAGCGUGAGUGACGGUAAUGGGUAAAGAAGCACCGGCUAACUACGUG
RNAcentral lists this ribosomal RNA (468 nucleotides) under uncultured bacterium. Its description in RNAcentral is "partial 16S ribosomal RNA". It matches the Rfam family "Bacterial small subunit ribosomal RNA", at positions 28 to 507 of the family's 1533-position model. The record is from RNAcentral.